Non-coding RNA from Cajanus cajan (pigeon pea), 1144 nucleotides. NCBI's taxonomy places the organism in Eukaryota, Viridiplantae, Streptophyta, Magnoliopsida, Fabales, Fabaceae. The record is from RefSeq and is a predicted model, not a curated record.
UAUGGAGGAUUCAGGGUCUGCCAGUGGAAGGAGGGAAGGUAGAUCUGUCACCCGAUUGUCUAGGUUGAUAGCUAGACACAUUGCCAAGGAGAGGACACCGGUUAAGGUGGAUCCUCGUUUUGGCAAGGCGUCAGGCCCAAAUGCUGCCAAGUUUAAGAGCUAUUUAGGAGUCCUAGCUCGACGUCAUGUUUCUAUUAUCAUUCCAUCAUGGGAUGACGUUGAAGAGGUUGACAAGAACCUCAUGUGACAGGAUAUUCAGCAAAAUUUUGACAUUCCCAACACUGAGGUCAUGAGGAGGAAGAUGUUAUCUGCCCUUGCCACUAGGUGGAGAGACUUCAAGACUUUCUUGACACAGGAGUAGGUAUUUGGAGAGCGACAAAAUAAGACUCCCUGUCUAAAGUACUAGAUCACUAAUGAGAAGUGGAUGCAAUUUCGUGCCACUCGAUUGGACCCUUCUUGGAAGACCAAAAGAAUAGCUACCCAAGAAUAACAAAGCAAGAAUGAUGCACUCCAUCUAUUGUCAACAGGGGGAUAUGAAUUAAAAAAAAAAAUGAUGAAGGCUAGGGCAGAGGCAGCAUGGUUUCAGUCUGCUGACCGUGUGGAGUCACCUCCCUGCCAUGAGAUGUGGAUAGCAGCCUGAACAAAAUCAGAUGGGCAAAUGACUUCUAAGUCUGCAAGGAUCAUUGCUGAUAAAAUAGAGGGUUUAGUUGAGCAGACCACCAGGGCUCAUUUGUUUCCCAUGGUUGGGAUGAUAUCCUCAUAACGGCCAUAGAAAGGCUAGAGAACGCAGGUCGUGUGCGUGGUGUUACUGAUUAAUAAAGGCAAUAAUAUUUAAAUUUAUUGACUUUGGAAAUAAUAGUUAUUUGUUUCUAAUUUUAGAGUAAUAAGCAAUAAAACUUCGUUUGAAUGUGGCUAUUACAUCAUGCAUUGGAUGAGAGCCAUAGUUUCUGCAGGUAUUACUGAUUCUUGGGCGCAAGGAAUUCAUAUCAAAAUUUAUUUAAGUAUAUUUACCUUUACGAUAAUUAACAUUGCAUAUUAAUGACACUUAAAUUAAUGUAUCAGGUCUUUUAAGAUCCAUUUUCAUUGCCCGAAGAUGAGAUCAUCAAGAUAAGAGAACAAUGGGCAACUUUUUUUCUUCAAAGUA